AUGCCAUGAUGAGGGCAUCUUCUGAGUAGUUCUUUAAAUCUUUCUCAUGCAUCAUACAUGUUUUUAUCUUCAAGUUGAUGGAAAGAUGUGAUCUCAUUCCUCAACUU
This 107-nucleotide small nucleolar RNA is filed under the name Citrus sinensis (sweet orange). RNAcentral's name for it is "Plant small nucleolar RNA R71". It matches the Rfam family "Plant small nucleolar RNA R71". Rfam says of the family: R71 is a member of the C/D box family of snoRNAs containing the C (UGAUGA) and D (CUGA) box motifs. Multiple nearly identical copies of this snoRNA have been identified in Arabidopsis, and it is thought to function as a 2'-O-ribose methylation guide for 18S ribosomal RNA. Lineage: Eukaryota; Viridiplantae; Streptophyta; Magnoliopsida; Sapindales; Rutaceae. The record is from Rfam by way of RNAcentral.